Molecule: ribosomal RNA, 502 nt
Filed under: uncultured bacterium
Lineage: Bacteria
Description: bacterial SSU rRNA
Rfam family: Bacterial small subunit ribosomal RNA
Source: RNAcentral
GAUGAACGCUAGCGGCAGGCUUAAUACAUGCAAGUCGAGGGGCAGCGGGGGUAGCAAUACCGCCGGCGACCGGCAAACGGGUGCGGAACACGUACAGAACCUUCCUUUAAGCGGGGGAUAGCCCAUAGAAAUGUGGAUUAAUACCCCAUAGUAAUAUUGACUGGCAUCAGUUGGUAUUUAAAGAUUUAUCACUUAAAGAUGGCUGUGCGGCUGAUUAGGUAGUUGGUGUGGGUAACGGCCCACCAAGUCAGCGAUCAGUAACUGGUGUGAGAGCACGACCAGUCACACGGGCACUGAGACACGGGCCCGACUCCUACGGGAGGCAGCAGUAAGGAAUAUUGGCCAAUGGACGCGAGUCUGAACCAGCCAUGCCGCGUGAAGGAUGAAGGCCCUCUGGGUUGUAAACUUCUUUUAUCUGGGAAGAAAUGCCUGUUUUCUAACGGGUUUUGACGGUACCAGAGGAAUAAGCACCGGCUAACUCCGUGCCAGCCGCCGCUGUAAU